AAUAAUAAAACCCAAAACCUAAAAUCAACCUAGCCCAACAUCCAAGCCCAAUCCCAAAACCCUAGACUCCCACUUGCCUCUUCCCAUUCUCCCAUGUUGUCUGCCACCAGCACCACUCCCACUCUCCCAUGCUGUCUGCCACCACCAUGCCUUUUGCCGCACCUGCAAACAAGCAAAGGAAAAGGACAAAAAAUGGAGCAAUAAACAUUAACAGAAUAUUGUAUUUUUGGCUAUAAAAGCCACAAGCAAAAUCGGACCAAAAAAAAAAAAGAAGAGAAACAAAAAAAAAGAGAAGGGGACUUUUGUAACAAAAAAGAGAAGAUUCGGCUUUUGAAAAAAUUGAAAGAAAUAAAAAAGGGGCUUUAGAAGGUGAUUCACCUUGUUUUUUUUCGUUUUCUUUAUUUUCGUUCUAUUUCGGUUUUUCUAUAGUAUUUCUUUCUCUUUUUUAUUAUCAACACACAUAUAUAUAAGAUAAAAAAAAUAAAAGUAAAAAGGAGUUUACCUGUUUCCGGCGGCGGUGGAAAGAGGAAGAACCGAAAGGUCUCUUUCGAUUUUGGCCCUUUUCGCCGGGAUUUCGGCUUUUCUAACCCCAGAUCUGGACCCUAUUCGCAAAAAGGAGAAAAAGGGAGCUUUUUUUGGUUUUCCAGCCACCGCGAACGGCGGCGUCGUCACCGGCGUCCGGCGACCGGUGCGGUGGUCGAUGGCCGGCAAAGGGGGCUCUUCCUCUCUUUUUACGGACACAAGAACAAUAAAAACAUAAACUUUGAAUCGGAGAAGUAAUUUUCAUUUCUUUAUUUUUGUGUGUUUUUACAUCUAGUUUGAUUUCUUUUUAUUUCUUUCUACUUACGAAAAUAAAAACAAAAGAAAUAAGGAGAGGAGAAACUCACCGGAGUUGGCCGUGACCGUGCCGCCGGGGUUUUUCUUCCAUCGUCGGCCGUCGGUCUUGGUGGCGUGGUGGCACUCAAGGUGUUAAGAAACCCAAGUGUUGGGUGUUUAAAAAAAAUGGUGGUUUGAAAAAAAGCAGAGCCUUUUUCCUCUAGCAAAUUCAAAAAGUGAAAGAAUAAAAAUAUAAAACAUUUUUUGUCUUUUUUUUCAAUCAUGAACGGUGCAUUAGUGGGAAAUCUUGCACAUGCUUGUCCUUAAUGGGUAAUUUAUGCAUUUAGUCCCUCCAUCUUGCGUUGAAAUGCAAUCAAACCUUUUAUUUUUUUUGAUUUGGGCCGCGAGUUUUGUUUCUGUUUCAAUCAGGUCCUUUGACCAUGUAUGGUCCUUUGCGCUGAAACGUUGCACUCUAGGACUAGGGAAUAUUUCCCUUUUCAGUCCUUCCCUUUUCGCGCGCCUCACAUUUUAAUCCUUUACUCUAUUUCAUUUUUGAUUUCAGCCCUGAGAUUUCGUUUCCGUUUUGAUUUAGUCCUAUUAUUAUUAUUAUUAUUAUUAUUAUUAUUAUUAUUAUUAUUACCUAUUUGUUUAUAUUUAUUUUAUUUAAUUUUCGGCACAUAUAUACAUAUACAUGCAUAUAUUUUUGUGAUAUACAUACAUUGUUUUUAUAACAUAUAUACUUAUAUAGUUUAUAUAUUUUACAACUUAUGUACAUAUCUAUAUAUCUAUAUAUAUAUUUUCAUUUUCCUAAAUAUAUACAUAUUUAUAUAUAAUCUUUAUAGUUUAAAAUAUACUUUUUUUAUAAAUCCGUAUAUACACACAUAUUACUAUUAAUUUAUAUACAUACAUAUCCUUUUAUUUUAUAAGUAUAUAUAUUUUAUAUGCACGUACAUACAUAUUUUUGUAUAUCUUAAUUUACAUAAAUAUAUAUAUACAUUUUCAAUAUAUUUUUUUAACAUGUAUCAAAAUUAACGUGUUUAUUCGUAUACAUACAUAUAUUUUCAUUAUUUUUAAACUUUAAUUUGUACAUACAUACUUUCUUUUAUUUUUUAACAUAUAUAUGUACUUACUUUUAUAUGUAUUUUAUUAUUUUCAUAUUCCAUAGUUUUAUACACCCAUAUAUAUGUACAUAUUUUUAUAUAUACACAUUUAUCGUUUCUUUUAUAUAUUAAAACAUACUUUAUACAUUUUGUUAAUUUAUAUAUAUACAUAUUUUAGUUUAUGUCUAUAUAUAUCUUUUUAUAUUUAAUGGUAUUUGUUACUUAUUUAUUUCAUUUUCGUCAUUAUGAAUGUUUUAAUUUAUUUGUUUAUAUAUAUUGUUAUUUUAUAUGAUUGUAGGUAUGACUUCUAUUUAUUUUAUAUUGUUGCUAUUGCUCGUAUUAUUUUUUAUUUUUAUGUGUAUUAUGAUUUUACCACGUAUAACAACAAUGUAAUUUGCUUUCACAUUUUUUACUACGAUUUUCGUGUUUUAUUUUACUCGAUAUAACAAAAUUUGUUUUAAAAAUAUUUCGUGUUUAGAUUCGAAAGGAUCGUACUCUAACUUACUGGGUUUCGAUUUUCAUAAUAAAUCUAAAUACACGAAUCUUUUCAAACUCAAGUUUUUAAACGAUCUCGGGAAUUAAGAAAAGAUCGUGCCCUAACUUACUGGGCCUGAUUUAUUUCUAAAACCAAGAUAAUAAAAUAUCUUUUAAAUAAGCAUUUUUCAUCCGCGUAUCGGGAAUUUGAGACAUUGUGUCCUAACUUACUAGAUAUGAUUCUCUUUCUCGAAUAACGUGAAAUAUCCCCUUUUUCCUGAAAAUUUUUAACGUUUUAAUACAAGGGUCGUAUUUUUAAAAUUCUUCAAGGUUCUCAAUUUUUGACAUUAAGACAUUAAGUAAUCAACUAGGUACCAAUUUUGGGCGUAUCGAGGGUGCUAAUCCUUCCUCGUGCGUAACCGACUCCCGAACCCGUUUUUCUAAAUUUCGUGGACCAAACUUGUUGUUUUAAUAAAAUCAAACCGUUUAUUAAAAACAACCCCUCUUUGAGGUGAUCCAAUCGCACCUCAUAAAAAAAGAGGAUUACAUUGCUCGGUUCGUCUCACAACUGACAGAUAAAUGUGAUCCAGUAUUCCGGCUCUUAAAGAAACAUAAUCCGGGUGAAUGGGAUGAAGAGUGUCAGAGGGCUUUCGAUAAGAUAAAGCAGUACUUGGCUAAUACCCUAGUCUUAUCACCUCCAAGUCCAGAUAGGCCAUUGAUAUUGUAUCUAACAGUGUUGGAGAAUUCCAUGGGAUGCGUAUUGGGCCAACAUGAUGAGACAGGAAAGAAAGAAAGGGCAAUAUACUACCUCAGUAAAAAAUUUACCGAUUGCGAAAUUAGGUACUCAUCAAUUGAGAAGUUGUGUUGCGCUCUAAUCUGGGCAACCCGAAGACUGAGGCAGUAUAUGUUGUAUCACACGACUUGGCUGAUUUCAAAGUUAGAUCCUUUAAAGUAUAUGAUGGAAUCGACUGCUUUGAACGGGAGAAUGGCUAGAUGGCAGAUCUUGCUUUCAGAAUUUGAUAUAGUAUAUGUCAGUCAGAAGGCCAUAAAGGGAAGUGCAAUAGCCGAUUUCCUAGCUAGUAGAGCCUUGGAGGACUAUGAAUCUUUGAAUUUUGAUUUUUCAAACGAGGACUUGAUGUAUGUGGCGAAUACUGAAGAAAAUCCUCAAAUGGAUCACGUAUGGAAGUUAAAUUUUGAUGGAGCUUCAAAUGCUACGGGUAAUGGAGUUGGGGCAGUUUUGGUAUCCCCAAGUGGAGAUCAUUAUCCUGUUGCUAGCAAGUUGGACUUCGAUUGUACAAAUAACAUGGCAGAAUAUGAAGCAUGUAUUAUGGGCAUUCGUGCAGCCAUUGAACGGAACAUCAAAGUACUGAGAGUAUACGGGGAUUCAGCGUUGGUGAUAUACCAACUCAAAGGGGAGUGGGAGACUAGGGAUCCUAAGCUAAUCGGUUAUAGAAAAUUAGUUCUUGAAUUGGCUGAGGAGUUUGACGAUAUCACCUUCUAUUACCUCCCAUGGGAGGAAAACCAAAUGGCUGAUGCUUUAGCUACUCUAGCUUCGAUGAUUCAGGUGAAUAGACUUGAGGCAAUGAGGCCUGUUCAGAUGAGUAUCUCUGAGACCCCGGCUAAUUGCUGCAAUAUUGAGGAGGAGGGAAAAGAUGAUUGUCCUUGGUAUCAGAGUAUCCUACAAUAUGUGAAGAAUCGGGAAUACCCUGAUCAAGCGACAGAGAAUGACAAAAGAACUCUGAGAAAGAUAGCCAUUGAAUAUGUCUUAGAUGGAGAAGUGUUAUAUAAAAGAAGGAAGGAUCAAGUACUGUUAAGGUGUGUGGAUGCUGUGGAAGCCAAGAAAAUUUUGGAAGAAGUCCAUGAGGGUAUUUGUGGGACGCACGCCAGUGGUUUCACGAUGGCCAGACAGAUCAUGAGAUUUGGGUACUAUUGGCCCACCAUGGAAGGAGAUUGUAUUGAUUAUGCCAGGAAGUGCCACAAAUGCCAAAUUUACGGAGACAAAAUACACGUGCCCCCUUCACCUCUUCACGUCAUGACCUCUCCUUGGCCGUUUUCCAUGUGGGGUAUGGAUGUUAUUGGGCCAAUAUCACCAAAGGCUUCUAAUGGGCAUCGCUUCAUCUUCGUAGUAAUUGAUUACUUUACUAAGUGGGUGGAGGCUGCUUCAUAUGCAAAUGUCACGAAAGCAGUAGUCAGCAAAUUCUUGAAGAAGGAGAUCAUUUGUCGAUAUGGAAUGCCUGAGAGGAUCAUAUCCGACAAUGCGAUGAACUUGAAUAAUAGCACAAUAGCUGAAGUUUGUAGCAAAUUUAAAAUUAAGCAUCAUAACUCAUCGCCGUAUCGUCCCAAAAUGAAUGGUGCAGUGGAGGCGGCCAAUAAGAACAUUAAAAGGAUUGUGGGGAAAAUGACUGAAACCUACAAGGAUUGGCAUGAGAAAUUAUCAUUUGCUCUCCUUGCCUAUCGAACAUCUGUUAGAACUUCUACUGGGGCAACGCCUUUUUCUCUGGUUUAUGGAAUGGAGGCAGUAUUACCCAUUGAAGUUGAAAUCCCUUCUCUACGGGUGUUAUCUGAGCUACAGUUGGAUGAAGCCGAUUGGAUCCAAUCUCGGUACGAUCAGUUGAACCUAAUAGAAGAAAAGAGGCUAAAAGCUAUUCACCAUGGGCAAAUGUACCAGAAACGAAUGAUGCGAGCCUAUAAUAAAAAGGUUCGCCCCCGAGAAUUUCGUGAAGGGGACUUGGUACUAAAAAAGAUUCUUCCUAUGCAAAAGGAUUUUAGAGGAAAAUGGAUGCCAAAUUGGGAAGGCCCUUAUGUUGUAAAGAAGGCCUUUUCUGGUGGAGCUUUGAUCCUAUGCGAGAUGGAUGGCAAAAGUUUACCAAAUCCUGUAAACGCAGACUCCGUCAAGAAAUACUUCACUUGAAAGAAAGAGGAACCAAAGUGAAAACCCGUGAAGGGCGCUUUGCUUCCUAAAAAAAAAAAAACUUUAGAGAGGCUAAGGUGAAAACCCGUAAAGGGCACUUUGAGACCAAAGAGGGCUUGAGUCGAAAACCCGGAAAAGGCGACUCAAGUACUGGGCAGGAUUGGAACAUCAGGAUUUGAGCGGAUCAAAUUUUGAUCGGGGGCAUAUGAUUAUCUUGCUUUACUUGAACCAAUAAGAAAGGAUAUGCAACGUCUUGGAUCAUGGACAGAGUAUUGCAGAUCUCCUGAACACAUGUCAAACUCAGAAGGGUCUUCGGAAAGUUUGUACAGAGAAACUCAAGCUGCGAUAACUAGGGCACCUAGUUCUUAUGUGUAUUCUUGAAAAUACAUUCUUUUAUUUUCUUUCUUUCUUCCUUUCUUUUUGUGAAAACGCACAUUCUCAAUCCACUUCUUUGUUAACCUUCUUUCGCCAUCUUUGAUGUUUUAUUCGAGUUAUGAUCGGAACUAGCUUUAUUCUUAUCCAGUGUUGUGAUCUUUUUGCAAAUAUGUUGCAUAGGAAUAAUGAUUAACAAACUAAUAAAACUUUCAGGAAAGAAGUUUUGCACAUUACUCUGGAAAAUUUCUAAAUAAUAUAGGGACCUGAAACAUGACUAUUGUUUAGAAAAUACCAAGUUUAAAGGGUGAAAUAUCUAAGAAGGAAGAGUCUAAGUUAAAGACUAUCCUUUCAGAUUUUGUUGUCUAAACAUUGAUUGAACAAAAUGACAAGCUGUCGUGUUACAAAGCUUAAAUGAACAAGCAAGCAAUGAUCAUCAGGCAAUAGGAAGAGGUUACCUCGGAGAAGAGAGCCUUCACUUGCGCAUAAGACUUUGGUACGACACCUUGAGAAUGGUGUAGGAAACCAGAACGGUUCAGAUCCUAUAUCCCCGAAUUGUGAUAAAAGAGGACAGAGGAAAAGCCACAUAUUUCUACCCUUAGAUUACUGUGAGAGAAUGAUGGUACAAAUUUUGGCAUCCCAGUGGAUAUAACUUUGAGGUUUACAAUGGGGACAGUCUGGCUAAAUGUUUCUUCAGAAAAGUCAGUCAAGCGAGAAGGCGUUGAAGCACGUCAGUCACAAAGCCUUAGUAAACUUCGAGUAAUGACAACCUAAGCGAGAUCAUUCUCGGAAAAAUAAAAUUCUGCAUUCAUGCAAACACCAUUCACAUAUGUCUAGUUAGGAGCAUUUGUUUCAUUUUGAUCAUGUCAUCCUAAUCAUUAGGCAUAAUUAGGUUUAUUAUACAGGUCUUAUCUCCCUGAGUUUACAGUGGAGUAGACCGAAAAAUUUCAGAUCUUAUCUCCCUGAGGUUACAGUGGAGCAGAUUGAAGCCAGAGAUCUUAUCUCUCUGAAAUUACAGCGGAGUAGAUUGAAGCUAGUAAUCCUAUCUCUCUGAAGUUACAGUGGAGCGGAUUAAAAUAAAGGAUCUUAUCUCUCUGAAGUUACAGUAGAGUAGAUCACAUCAGAUUGAAGCCAGAGAUCUUAUCUCCCUGAGAUUACAGUGGAACAGACCGAAAAAUUUCAGAUCUUAUCUCCCUGAGGUUACAGUGGAGCAGAUUGAAGCCAGAGAUCUUAUCUCUCUGAAAUUACAGCGGAGUAGAUUGAAGCUAGUAAUCCUAUCUCUCUGAAGUUACAGUGGAGCGGAUUAAAAUAAAGGAUCUUAUCUCUCUGAAGUUACAGUAGAGUAGAUCACAUCAGAUUGAAGCCAGAGAUCUUAUCUCCCUGAGAUUACAGUGGAACAGACCGAAAAAUUUCAGAUCUUAUCUCCCUGAGGUUACAGUGGAGCAGAUUGAAGCCAGAGAUCUUAUCUCUCUGAAAUUACAGCGGAGUAGAUUGAAGCUAGUAAUCCUAUCUCUCUGAAGUUACAGUGGAGCGGAUUAAAAUAAAGGAUCUUAUCUCUCUGAAGUUACAGUAGAGUAGAUCACAUCAGAUUGAAGCCAGAGAUCUUAUCUCCCUGAUGUUGCAGUGGAACAGACUGAAAACAUAAAUUUCGUUCCCUUGCGAAGGAGAUUAAAGCUACAAAUUAGAUCGAAGCAACAAGGCACAGUGGACGGAAUAAGGCUACCUGAAGAAGAGAAGUGUCAAAAAAAAGUCAAGACUCGGCAAGACCAGGCAAAAUUGGCCCUUUUGAUGUCUUUGCUCUAUUCUCGUUACACGAAAAUGAGCAAAGAGGGGCAACUGUAAAAGUCCAUUUUUGCCCGGGCCCAUACCAACAAAAUAACCCAAAUAAUAAAACCCAAAACCUAAAAUCAACCUAGCCCAACAUCCAAGCCCAAUCCCAAAACCCUAGACUCCCACUUGCCUCUUCCCAUUCUCCCAUGUUGUCUGCCACCAGCACCACUCCCACUCUCCCAUGCUGUCUGCCACCACCAUGCCUUUUGCCGCACCUGCAAACAAGCAAAGGAAAAGGACAAAAAAUGGAGCAAUAAACAUUAACAGAAUAUUGUAUUUUUGGCUAUAAAAGCCACAAGCAAAAUCGGACCAAAAAAAAAAGAAGAGAAACAAAAAAAAGAGAAGGGGACUUUUGUAACAAAAAAGAGAAGAUUCGGCUUUUGAAAAAAUUGAAAGAAAUAAAAAAGGGGCUUUAGAAGGUGAUUCACCUUGUUUUUUUUUCGUUUUCUUUAUUUUCGUUCUAUUUCGGUUUUUCUAUAGUAUUUCUUUCUCUUUUUUAUUAUCAACACACAUAUAUAUAAGAUAAAAAAAAUAAAAGUAAAAAGGAGUUUACCUGUUUCCGGCGGCGGUGGAAAGAGGAAGAACCGAAAGGUCUCUUUCGAUUUUGGCCCUUUUCGCCGGGAUUUCGGCUUUUCUAACCCCAGAUCUGGACCCUAUUCGCAAAAAGGAGAAAAAGGGAGCUUUUUUUUGGUUUUCCGGCCACCGCGAACGGCGGCGUCGUCGCCGGCGUCCGGCGACCGGUGCGGUGGUCGAUGGCCGGCAAAGGGGGCUCUUCCUCUCUUUUUACGGACACAAGAACAAUAAAAACAUAAACUUUGAAUCGGAGAAGUAAUUUUCAUUUCUUUAUUUUUGUGUGUUUUUACAUCUAGUUUGAUUUCUUUUUAUUUCUUUCUACUUACGAAAAUAAAAACAAAAGAAAUAAGGAGAGGAGAAACUCACCGGAGUUGGCCGUGACCGUGCCGCCGGGGUUUUUUCUUCCAUCGUCGGCCGUCGGUCUUGGUGGCGUGGUGGCACUCAAGGUGUUAAGAAACCCAAGUGUUGGGUGUUUAAAAAAAAUGGUGGUUUGAAAAAAAGCAGAGCCUUUUUCCUCUAGCAAAUUCAAAAAGUGAAAGAAUAAAAAUAUAAAACAUUUUUUGUCUUUUUUUUCAAUCAUGAACGGUGCAUUAGUGGGGAAUCUUGCACAUGCUUGUCCUUAAUGGGUAAUUUAUGCAUUUAGUCCCUCCAUCUUGCGUUGAAAUGCAAUCAAACCUUUAUUUUUUUUUGAUUUGGGCCGCGAGGUUUUGUUUCUGUUUCAAUCAGGUCCUUUGACCAUGUAUGGUCCUUUGCGCUGAAACGUUGCACUCUAGGACUAGGGAAUAUUUCCCUUUUCAGUCCCUUCCCUUUUCGCGCGCCUCACAUUUUAAUCCUUUUCAUUGACAGCCCUGAGAUUUCGUUUCCGUUUUGAUUUAGUCCUAUUAUUAUUAUUAGUAUUAUUAGACCUAUGUUAUAUUUAUUUUUAAUUUCGGCACAUAUAUACAUAUACAUGCAUAUAUUUUUUGUGAUAUACAUACAUGUUUAUAACAUAUUACUUAUAUAGUUUAUAUAUUUUACAACUUAUGUACAUAUCUAUAUAUCUAUAUAUAUAUUUUCAUUUUCCUAAAUAUAUACAUAUUUAUAUAUAAUCUUUAUAGUUUAAAAUAUACUUUUUUUAUAAAUCCGUAUAUACACACAUAUUACUAUUAAUUUAUAUACAUACAUAUCCUUUUAUUUUAUAAGUAUAUAUAUUUUAUAUGCACGUACAUACAUAUUUUGUAUAUCUUAAUUUACAUAAAUAUAUAUAUACAUUUUCAAUAUAUUUUUUUAACAUGUAUCAAAAUUAACGUUGUUUAUUCGUUUAUACAUACAUAUAUUUUCAUUAUUUUUAAACUUUAAUUUGUACAUACAUACUUUCUUUUAUUUUUUAACAUAUAUAUGUACUUACUUUUAUAUGUAUUUUAUUAUUUUCAUAUUCCAUAGUUUUAUACACCCAUAUAUAUGUACAUAUUUUUAUAUAUACACAUUUAUCGCUUCUUUUAUAUAUUAAAACAUACUUUAUACAUUUUGUUAAUUUAUAUAUAUACAUAUUUUAGUUUAUGUCUAUAUAUAUCUUUUAUAUUUAAUGGUAUUUGUUACUUAUUUAUUUCAUUUUCGUCAUUAUGAAUGUUUUAAUUUAUUUGUUUAUAUAUAUUGUUAUUUUAUAUGAUUGUAGGUAUGACUUCUAUUUAUUUUAUAUUGUUGCUAUUGCUCGAUUAUUUUUUAUUUUAUGUGUAUUAUGAUUUUACCACGUAUAACAACAAUGUAAUUUGCUUUCCACAUUUUUUACUACGAUUUUCGUGUUUUAUUUACUCGAUAUAAACAAAAUUUGUUUUAAAAAAUAUUUCGUGUUUAGAUUCGAAAAGGAUCGUACUCUAACUACUGGGUUUCGAUUUUCAUAAUAAAUCUAAAUACACGAAUCUUUCAAAACUCAGUUUUUUAAACGAUCUCGGGAAUUAAGAAAAGAUCGUUGCCCUAACUUUACUGGGCCUGACUUUAUUCUAAAACCAAGAUAAUAAAAUAUCUUUUAAAUAAGCAUUUUUUUCAUCCGCGUAUCGGGAAUUUGAGACAUUGUGUCCUAACUUACUAGAUAUGAUUCUCUUNNNNNNNNNNNNNNNNNNNNNNNNNNNNNNNNNNNNNNNNNNNNNNNNNNNNNNNNNNNNNNNNNNNNNNNNNNNNNNNNNNNNNNNNNNNNNNNNNNNNNNNNNNNNNNNNNNNNNNNNNNNNNNNNNNNNNNNNNNNNNNNNNNNNNNNNNNNNNNNNNNNNNNNNNNNNNNNNNNNNNNNNNNNNNNNNNNNNNNNNNNNNNNNNNNNNNNNNNNNNNNNNNNNNNNNNNNNNNNNNNNNNNNNNNNNNNNNNNNNNNNNNNNNNNNNNNNNNNNNNNNNNNNNNNNNNNNNNNNNNNNNNNNNNNNNNNNNNNNNNNNNNNNNNNNNNNNNNNNNNNNNNNNNNNNNNNNNNNNNNNNNNNNNNNNNNNNNNNNNNNNNNNNNNNNNNNNNNNNNNNNNNNNNNNNNNNNNNNNNNNNNNNNNNNNNNNNNNNNNNNNNNNNNNNNNNNNNNNNNNNNNNNNNNNNNNNNNNNNNNNNNNNNNNNNNNNNNNNNNNCCCCUCAUAAAAAAAGAGGAUUACAUUGCUCGGUUCGUCUCACAACUGACAGAUAAUGUGAUCCAGUAUUCCGGCUCUUAAAGAAACAUAAUCCGGGUGAAUGGGAUGAAGAGUGUCAGAGGGCUUUCGAUAAGAUAAAGCAGUACUUGGCUAAUACCCUAGUCUUAUCACCUCCAAGUCCAGAUAGGCCAUUGAUAUUGUAUCUAACAGUGUUGGAGAAUUCCAUGGGAUGCGUAUUGGGCCAACAUGAUGAGACAGGAAAGAAAGAAAGGGCAAUAUACUACCUCAGUAAAAAAUUUACCGAUUGCGAAAUUAGGUACUCAUCAAUUGAGAAGUUGUGUUGCGCUCUAAUCUGGGCAACCCGAAGACUGAGGCAGUAUAUGUUGUAUCACACGACUUGGCUGAUUUCAAAGUUAGAUCCUUUAAAGUAUAUGAUGGAAUCGACUGCUUUGAACGGGAGAAUGGCUAGAUGGCAGAUCUUGCUUUCAGAAUUUGAUAUAGUAUAUGUCAGUCAGAAGGCCAUAAAGGGAAGUGCAAUAGCCGAUUUCCUAGCUAGUAGAGCCUUGGAGGACUAUGAAUCUUUGAAUUUUGAUUUUUCAAACGAGGACUUGAUGUAUGUGGCGAAUACUGAAGAAAAUCCUCAAAUGGAUCACGUAUGGAAGUUAAAUUUUGAUGGAGCUUCAAAUGCUACGGGUAAUGGAGUUGGGGCAGUUUUGGUAUCCCCAAGUGGAGAUCAUUAUCCUGUUGCUAGCAAGUUGGACUUCGAUUGUACAAAUAACAUGGCAGAAUAUGAAGCAUGUAUUAUGGGCAUUCGUGCAGCCAUUGAACGGAACAUCAAAGUACUGAGAGUAUACGGGGAUUCAGCGUUGGUGAUAUACCAACUCAAAGGGGAGUGGGAGACUAGGGAUCCUAAGCUAAUCGGUUAUAGAAAAUUAGUUCUUGAAUUGGCUGAGGAGUUUGACGAUAUCACCUUCUAUUACCUCCCAUGGGAGGAAAACCAAAUGGCUGAUGCUUUAGCUACUCUAGCUUCGAUGAUUCAGGUGAAUAGACUUGAGGCAAUGAGGCCUGUUCAGAUGAGUAUCUCUGAGACCCCGGCUAAUUGCUGCAAUAUUGAGGAGGAGGGAAAAGAUGAUUGUCCUUGGUAUCAGAGUAUCCUACAAUAUGUGAAGAAUCGGGAAUACCCUGAUCAAGCGACAGAGAAUGACAAAAGAACUCUGAGAAAGAUAGCCAUUGAAUAUGUCUUAGAUGGAGAAGUGUUAUAUAAAAGAAGGAAGGAUCAAGUACUGUUAAGGUGUGUGGAUGCUGUGGAAGCCAAGAAAAUUUUGGAAGAAGUCCAUGAGGGUAUUUGUGGGACGCACGCCAGUGGUUUCACGAUGGCCAGACAGAUCAUGAGAUUUGGGUACUAUUGGCCCACCAUGGAAGGAGAUUGUAUUGAUUAUGCCAGGAAGUGCCACAAAUGCCAAAUUUACGGAGACAAAAUACACGUGCCCCCUUCACCUCUUCACGUCAUGACCUCUCCUUGGCCGUUUUCCAUGUGGGGUAUGGAUGUUAUUGGGCCAAUAUCACCAAAGGCUUCUAAUGGGCAUCGCUUCAUCUUCGUAGUAAUUGAUUACUUUACUAAGUGGGUGGAGGCUGCUUCAUAUGCAAAUGUCACGAAAGCAGUAGUCAGCAAAUUCUUGAAGAAGGAGAUCAUUUGUCGAUAUGGAAUGCCUGAGAGGAUCAUAUCCGACAAUGCGAUGAACUUGAAUAAUAGCACAAUAGCUGAAGUUUGUAGCAAAUUUAAAAUUAAGCAUCAUAACUCAUCGCCGUAUCGUCCCAAAAUGAAUGGUGCAGUGGAGGCGGCCAAUAAGAACAUUAAAAGGAUUGUGGGGAAAAUGACUGAAACCUACAAGGAUUGGCAUGAGAAAUUAUCAUUUGCUCUCCUUGCCUAUCGAACAUCUGUUAGAACUUCUACUGGGGCAACGCCUUUUUCUCUGGUUUAUGGAAUGGAGGCAGUAUUACCCAUUGAAGUUGAAAUCCCUUCUCUACGGGUGUUAUCUGAGCUACAGUUGGAUGAAGCCGAUUGGAUCCAAUCUCGGUACGAUCAGUUGAACCUAAUAGAAGAAAAGAGGCUAAAAGCUAUUCACCAUGGGCAAAUGUACCAGAAACGAAUGAUGCGAGCCUAUAAUAAAAAGGUUCGCCCCCGAGAAUUUCGUGAAGGGGACUUGGUACUAAAAAAGAUUCUUCCUAUGCAAAAGGAUUUUAGAGGAAAAUGGAUGCCAAAUUGGGAAGGCCCUUAUGUUGUAAAGAAGGCCUUUUCUGGUGGAGCUUUGAUCCUAUGCGAGAUGGAUGGCAAAAGUUUACCAAAUCCUGUAAACGCAGACUCCGUCAAGAAAUACUUCACUUGAAAGAAAGAGGAACCAAAGUGAAAACCCGUGAAGGGCGCUUUGCUUCCUAAAAAAAAAAAAACUUUAGAGAGGCUAAGGUGAAAACCCGUAAAGGGCACUUUGAGACCAAAGAGGGCUUGAGUCGAAAACCCGGAAAAGGCGACUCAAGUACUGGGCAGGAUUGGAACAUCAGGAUUUGAGCGGAUCAAAUUUUGAUCGGGGGCAUAUGAUUAUCUUGCUUUACUUGAACCAAUAAGAAAGGAUAUGCAACGUCUUGGAUCAUGGACAGAGUAUUGCAGAUCUCCUGAACACAUGUCAAACUCAGAAGGGUCUUCGGAAAGUUUGUACAGAGAAACUCAAGCUGCGAUAACUAGGGCACCUAGUUCUUAUGUGUAUUCUUGAAAAUACAUUCUUUUAUUUUCUUUCUUUCUUCCUUUCUUUUUGUGAAAACGCACAUUCUCAAUCCACUUCUUUGUUAACCUUCUUUCGCCAUCUUUGAUGUUUUAUUCGAGUUAUGAUCGGAACUAGCUUUAUUCUUAUCCAGUGUUGUGAUCUUUUUGCAAAUAUGUUGCAUAGGAAUAAUGAUUAACAAACUAAUAAAACUUUCAGGAAAGAAGUUUUGCACAUUACUCUGGAAAAUUUCUAAAUAAUAUAGGGACCUGAAACAUGACUAUUGUUUAGAAAAUACCAAGUUUAAAGGGUGAAAUAUCUAAGAAGGAAGAGUCUAAGUUAAAGACUAUCCUUUCAGAUUUUGUUGUCUAAACAUUGAUUGAACAAAAUGACAAGCUGUCGUGUUACAAAGCUUAAAUGAACAAGCAAGCAAUGAUCAUCAGGCAAUAGGAAGAGGUUACCUCGGAGAAGAGAGCCUUCACUUGCGCAUAAGACUUUGGUACGACACCUUGAGAAUGGUGUAGGAAACCAGAACGGUUCAGAUCCUAUAUCCCCGAAUUGUGAUAAAAGAGGACAGAGGAAAAGCCACAUAUUUCUACCCUUAGAUUACUGUGAGAGAAUGAUGGUACAAAUUUUGGCAUCCCAGUGGAUAUAACUUUGAGGUUUACAAUGGGGACAGUCUGGCUAAAUGUUUCUUCAGAAAAGUCAGUCAAGCGAGAAGGCGUUGAAGCACGUCAGUCACAAAGCCUUAGUAAACUUCGAGUAAUGACAACCUAAGCGAGAUCAUUCUCGGAAAAAUAAAAUUCUGCAUUCAUGCAAACACCAUUCACAUAUGUCUAGUUAGGAGCAUUUGUUUCAUUUUGAUCAUGUCAUCCUAAUCAUUAGGCAUAAUUAGGUUUAUUAUACAGGUCUUAUCUCCCUGAGUUUACAGUGGAGUAGACCGAAAAAUUUCAGAUCUUAUCUCCCUGAGGUUACAGUGGAGCAGAUUGAAGCCAGAGAUCUUAUCUCUCUGAAAUUACAGCGGAGUAGAUUGAAGCUAGUAAUCCUAUCUCUCUGAAGUUACAGUGGAGCGGAUUAAAAUAAAGGAUCUUAUCUCUCUGAAGUUACAGUAGAGUAGAUCACAUCAGAUUGAAGCCAGAGAUCUUAUCUCCCUGAGAUUACAGUGGAACAGACCGAAAAAUUUCAGAUCUUAUCUCCCUGAGGUUACAGUGGAGCAGAUUGAAGCCAGAGAUCUUAUCUCUCUGAAAUUACAGCGGAGUAGAUUGAAGCUAGUAAUCCUAUCUCUCUGAAGUUACAGUGGAGCGGAUUAAAAUAAAGGAUCUUAUCUCUCUGAAGUUACAGUAGAGUAGAUCACAUCAGAUUGAAGCCAGAGAUCUUAUCUCCCUGAGAUUACAGUGGAACAGACCGAAAAAUUUCAGAUCUUAUCUCCCUGAGGUUACAGUGGAGCAGAUUGAAGCCAGAGAUCUUAUCUCUCUGAAAUUACAGCGGAGUAGAUUGAAGCUAGUAAUCCUAUCUCUCUGAAGUUACAGUGGAGCGGAUUAAAAUAAAGGAUCUUAUCUCUCUGAAGUUACAGUAGAGUAGAUCACAUCAGAUUGAAGCCAGAGAUCUUAUCUCCCUGAUGUUGCAGUGGAACAGACUGAAAACAUAAAUUUCGUUCCCUUGCGAAGGAGAUUAAAGCUACAAAUUAGAUCGAAGCAACAAGGCACAGUGGACGGAAUAAGGCUACCUGAAGAAGAGAAGUGUCAAAAAAAAGUCAAGACUCGGCAAGACCAGGCAAAAUUGGCCCUUUUGAUGUCUUUGCUCUAUUCUCGUUACACGAAAAUGAGCAAAGAGGGGCAACUGUAAAAGUCCAUUUUUGCCCGGGCCCAUACCAACAAAAUAACCCAAAUAAUAAAACCCAAAACCUAAAAUCAACCUAGCCCAACAUCCAAGCCCAAUCCCAAAACCCUAGACUCCCACUUGCCUCUUCCCAUUCUCCCAUGUUGUCUGCCACCAGCACCACUCCCACUCUCCCAUGCUGUCUGCCACCACCAUGCCUUUUGCCGCACCUGCAAACAAGCAAAGGAAAAGGACAAAAAAUGGAGCAAUAAACAUUAACAGAAUAUUGUAUUUUUGGCUAUAAAAGCCACAAGCAAAAUCGGACCAAAAAAAAAAGAAGAGAAACAAAAAAAAGAGAAGGGGACUUUUGUAACAAAAAAGAGAAGAUUCGGCUUUUGAAAAAAUUGAAAGAAAUAAAAAAGGGGCUUUAGAAGGUGAUUCACCUUGUUUUUUUUCGUUUUCUUUAUUUUCGUUCUAUUUCGGUUUUUCUAUAGUAUUUCUUUCUCUUUUUUAUUAUCAACACACAUAUAUAUAAGAUAAAAAAAAUAAAAGUAAAAAGGAGUUUACCUGUUUCCGGCGGCGGUGGAAAGAGGAAGAACCGAAAGGUCUCUUUCGAUUUUGGCCCUUUUCGCCGGGAUUUCGGCUUUUCUAACCCCAGAUCUGGACCCUAUUCGCAAAAAGGAGAAAAAGGGAGCUUUUUUUGGUUUUCCGGCCACCGCGAACGGCGGCGUCGUCGCCGGCGUCCGGCGACCGGUGCGGUGGUCGAUGGCCGGCAAAGGGGGCUCUUCCUCUCUUUUUACGGACACAAGAACAAUAAAAACAUAAACUUUGAAUCGGAGAAGUAAUUUUC
RNAcentral lists this long non-coding RNA (16081 nucleotides) under Gossypium barbadense (sea-island cotton). RNAcentral's name for it is "long non-coding RNA (GBAR_LNC006840)". The record is from RNAcentral. Lineage: Eukaryota; Viridiplantae; Streptophyta; Magnoliopsida; Malvales; Malvaceae.